GACGAACGCUGGCGGCGUGCUUAACACAUGCAAGUCGAACAAUGAAGCUGGAGCUUGCUCCGGUGGAUUAGUGGCGAACGGGUGAGUAACACGUGAGCAAUCUGCCCUUGACUCUGGGAUAACUGCGGGAAACUGUAGCUAAUACCGGAUACUUUCACUGGAAGGCAUCUUCUGGUGAAGAAAGAAUUUCGGUCAAGGAUGAGCUCGCGGCCUAUCAGCUUGUUGGUGAGGUAACGGCUCACCAAGGCGACGACGGGUAGCCGGCCUGAGAGGGUGACCGGCCACACUGGGACUGAGACACGGCCCAGACUCCUACGGGAGGCAGCAGGGGGGAAUAUUGCACAAUGGGCGCAAGCCUGAUGCAGCAACGCCGCGUGAGGGAUGAAGGCCUUCGGGUUGUAAACCUCUUUUAGCAGGGAAGAAGCGAAAGUGACGGUACCUGCAGAAAAAGCACCGGCUAACUACGUGCCAGCCGCCGCAGUAA
Molecule: ribosomal RNA, 484 nt
Filed under: uncultured bacterium
Lineage: Bacteria
Description: partial 16S ribosomal RNA
Rfam family: Bacterial small subunit ribosomal RNA
Source: RNAcentral